UUGACCACUUGUUAUUAAUUAAAUACUAUCAUUUUGUUAAGACUUAUCUUUAGUAUUAACAUAAUAGUUUAAAUUACUAGCUUAAACUUUUGGACCUCAUGGUUUAAUAAUACGAGCCAUUACCCUAAAAUAUGUGGUAAUAGAGUCAAUGUACAUGUCAUCUAACUUUGUCUAAUCAUUUUGUCUUAACUAAUUUCUAAUGUCAUUUGAUAAUUUUUGUCGUCAAUUUUUAGGCUUCUAUCUUGGUUUCUCGAUUUGCAUUACCUAAAUAAACCUAUUAAUUGAGGAUAUGUGAAGAUUGACUAUAUUAAUGUUGGACCCUCCCGAGUAGUUUAAACCUUAAAGUCUUCGUUAAACAACUUGACUAAGAUAUCUUAGGAUAAAUAGUUGGUAUUCUUUAUAGUUUUAGUUAAGUGCCCGUUAAGUCUCUAUAUUUAAAAAAAAAUAAUGACUCAAGGCACUCUUACUCAUAAUUAUAUUACAAUCCUACCUUACUUUUUCUUUACUUUUAUAGCAAUACUCU
Molecule: long non-coding RNA, 523 nt
Filed under: Citrus x clementina
Lineage: Eukaryota; Viridiplantae; Streptophyta; Magnoliopsida; Sapindales; Rutaceae
Description: Citrus clementina (C. clementina) long non-coding RNA (CCLE_LNC001626)
Source: RNAcentral